Molecule: long non-coding RNA, 628 nt
Filed under: Calidris pugnax (ruff)
Lineage: Eukaryota; Metazoa; Chordata; Aves; Charadriiformes; Scolopacidae
Description: lncRNA (ENSCPUG00000012220.1)
Source: RNAcentral
UAUGCAUAUUAUUUCAGUCACACUGAUGGCCGGGGCGCUCCUGCAACUAUUUCCCAUGCCAUUUAACUUUUAUUUUUUUUUCUCAAUUUCAGGAAGAAAAGACACUGUGAUUUUAUUGCUAAAACAACUACUGCUUCCAACUGUAAUGGGAUGCAAUUGUGGGCCGUGUACUGGCAAGUCUACAUAUCAGGUCCAGCCAGAACACAAGGCCUAUUUUUGGUUUUGGUUACAUUCGGCUGUGAACAUUGGCAUGAAGGGCGAGGGGCUCCGUGAUAGAGAGCAUUUUUCUGCUCUUUAUUUAAAUAGGCUCCUUCCCAGAAGAGUAACGACCCAAAAUUUGCAGUUCCAGUAAAAUGCUGUCGGAGGAGUGCUGGGGAAAAAAAGAGAGAGUGCAAGAGGAGAGAAAGACCAGCUCUUCUUGAACAUCUUACCAUCCUGAAAAGCUGAAGAUGCCUUCCCUUCACCCAACUCAGGCGUCGCCGGCAGAAGGAGGAGCAGUGGGUUCAACACACGCUGUUAACAGCUCCACGCUCUCUAACAAGGUACUGAGAGAGGCCCUGAAAAUUAGUAUCCACACCCCAGCAGCAAUUACCGCAAGAAUUUUUCAGUUGAUUAGACAACGCUGCCC